This is a microRNA precursor of Gorilla gorilla gorilla (western lowland gorilla), 100 nucleotides long. Ensembl annotates it as microRNA 548x-2. Its record names the gene MIR548X2. NCBI's taxonomy places the organism in Eukaryota, Metazoa, Chordata, Mammalia, Primates, Hominidae. The record is from Ensembl.
AUGCCAAAUAUUAGGUUGGCACAAAAGUAAUUGUGGCUUUUGCCAUUAAAAGUAAUGGUAAAAACUGCAAUUACUUUCGUGCCAACCUAAUAUUUGUGUG